GUACGAUCUACAUCCUCUCCAGCACUUGCUCCGUGACUUAGCAGCAGCAGCAGCUCCGUGAAGCCGAUGGUAUCUUCCACACUUUACAGACGAGGAAACUGAGUCUCAGACAGGAAGAGUGAGCCCCCCAAAGGCACAAUGCUAGCGUGAGUCAGAGGACUUGAACCCUGGCAGCUGAGCUACAGAGCCCUCACCCAUCAGCCAUCGUGCCACUGUGCUCAGUUGUGUCCAGCUCUUUGCGACCCCAUGGGCUGGAGACCACCAGGCUCCUCUGUCCAUGGGAUUUUCCAGGUGAUUGUCUCUGAGGCCUUUCUGGGGAUGCAGAGAUGGUGUGACCCUUUAAAGUUCACCUAGGAUGAGGUACUGAUAUUGGAACCGAUCGGUGUCAUUUCAUGGGGGCUCUGAAGAGCUGUGGUACCCCGUCCUUUAUGUCUCACUGCAGAGAACUCAGCAAGAGCAAAGUGGGAGAUAAGAAGUGACUUAUCAGAAUAGCUUGCGAGGCUUCCAUGCAGGACUGAUGCUGAAGCUGGAACGCCAAUCCUUUGGCCACCUGAUGAGAAGAACUGAUUCAUUGGAAAAGACCCUGAUGCUGGGAAAGAUUGAAGGCAGGAGGAGAAGGGGGUGACAGAGGAUGAGAUGGUUGGAUGGCAUCACCGACUGGAUGAACAUGAGUUUGAGUAAACUCCGGGAGUUGGUGAUGGACAGGGAGGUCUGGUGUGCUGCAGUCCAGGGGGUUGCAAAGAGUUGGACACGACUGAGCGACUGAAAUGAGCUGAACUGAGGCUGUGGGGAGCAGAAUGAGGAACAGGAAAGUGAUAGUAAAGGGUGCAGGGUUUCUGUCUGAGCUGAUGAAAAUGUUCUAAAAUUGACUGUGUGGUGGUUGUACGACUUUGAAUAUACUAAAAAUUAUUGAAAUGUUCACUUUAAAUGGGUGAACUGUAUGAUAUGUGAGUUAAAAAAAAAAACAUUUGGCCACACCAUGGGAUCUUAGUUCCCCAGCCGGGGAUCAAACCCCUGCCCCCUGCAGUGGAAGUGUGGAGUGUUAACCACUG
Molecule: long non-coding RNA, 1052 nt
Organism: Bos taurus (domestic cattle)
Lineage: Eukaryota; Metazoa; Chordata; Mammalia; Artiodactyla; Bovidae
Source: Ensembl